GGAAUAUUGGACAAUGGGCGCAAGCCUGAUCCAGCCAUGCCGCGUGAGUGAUGAAGGCCUUAGGGUUGUAAAGCUCUUUUAUCCGGGACGAUAAUGACGGUACCGGAGGAAUAAGCCCCGGCUAACUUCGUGCCAGCAGCCGCGGUAAUACGAAGGGGGCUAGCGUUGCUCGGAAUCACUGGGCGUAAAGGGCGCGUAGGCGGCGUUUUAAGUCGGGGGUGAAAGCCUGUGGCUCAACCACAGAAUGGCCUUCGAUACUGGGACGCUUGAGUAUGGUAGAGGUCGGUGGAACUGCGAGUGUAGAGGUGAAAUUCGUAGAUAUUCGCAAGAACACCGGUGGCGAAGGCGGCCGACUGGACCAUCACUGACGCUGAGGCGCGAAAGCGUGGGGAGCAAACA
This 399-nucleotide ribosomal RNA is filed under the name uncultured Methylobacterium sp. Its description in RNAcentral is "bacterial SSU rRNA". It matches the Rfam family "Bacterial small subunit ribosomal RNA", at positions 358 to 774 of the family's 1533-position model. Lineage: Bacteria; Pseudomonadati; Pseudomonadota; Alphaproteobacteria; Hyphomicrobiales; Methylobacteriaceae. The record is from RNAcentral.